RNAcentral lists this long non-coding RNA (745 nucleotides) under Drosophila guanche. Lineage: Eukaryota; Metazoa; Arthropoda; Insecta; Diptera; Drosophilidae. The record is from RNAcentral.
CCCUUCAAAUAAUUACUGAAUUUUUCAACUUUUACUUUCUUAAAUUGAUCAUCUCUGAGACUUGAAAACAAUUCAAUUUUGUACAGGGAAAAAAUCCCCGCUGCCUGCCAAGCCCCGUAAUAAUUCCUUACUAAUUUCCCUUCCGUUUCGCCAGUCAUUCAGUCAUCGUUAAGCCUCGAAUGCUGCCUCCAGUAAAGCAGCCGACAGUGGAGAGGCGUAACGCCCAGCCCCGCCUCUGAGAUGUUGCAGAGGCGCCAACGGCAAUGCAGCAAUGCAACAGCAGCAGCAGCAGCAGCAGCAGCAGGAAGGGGGAGGGAGACCCCAAAAGUUACGACAACAGUCGCAGUCGCCUCGCAAACGUGGGAGCUUUUUAUGAGUUUCUACCCGAAACGGACCCACGGCAGCGGCGACAGUGGUGGCAGCGUCGGUUUUGUGCCUCUUGCCACAAAACGUGGGCAGCCGGGUAGGUGAUGUUGGGGCAGCUGUAGAUGUAGCCAGCGGCAGCUGUUGCCGCCAAUUGAUUGAAAUGCCGACCGUUCAUUCGACUGGGUCCCCGGUCAUCUAUCUGUCUGUCUCUUUCCCACCUCUCCUGCCAUCUCUUUUGCGCUUCAAGUAUUUCGCUUUUUAUUGUUGUUGCUGUUGUUGUUUUUGGGUGGGUAUCUUCAAGGGUGCUCGGAAAAUACUUUUCUUUAUUCCUUUUUUGUUUUGUUUUGUUUUGUUUUUUUUUUUUGCUGUGCGGUUUGGG